UGAACGCUGGCGGCGUGCCUAAUACAUGCAAGUCGCGCGAACAGACGAGGAGCUUGCUCCUCUGACGUUAGCGGCGGACGGGUGAGUAACACGUGGAUAACCUACCUAUAAGACUGGGAUAACUUCGGGAAACCGGAGCUAAUACCGGAUAAUAUAUUGAACCGCAUGGUUCAAUAGUGAAAGACGGUUUUGCUGUCACUUAUAGAUGGAUCCGCGCCGCAUUAGCUAGUUGGUAAGGUAACGGCUUACCAAGGCAACGAUGCGUAGCCGACCUGAGAGGGUGAUCGGCCACACUGGAACUGAGACACGGUCCAGACUCCUACGGGAGGCAGCAGUAGGGAAUCUUCCGCAAUGGGCGAAAGCCUGACGGAGCAACGCCGCGUGAGUGAUGAAGGUCUUCGGAUCGUAAAACUCUGUUAUUAGGGAAGAACAAAUGUGUAAGUAACGAUGCACGUCUUGACGGUACCUAAUCAGAAAGCCACGGCUAACUACGU
Molecule: ribosomal RNA, 494 nt
Filed under: uncultured bacterium
Lineage: Bacteria
Description: partial 16S ribosomal RNA
Rfam family: Bacterial small subunit ribosomal RNA
Source: RNAcentral